UCUUUCUUUGGCUGGCGACCGGCGCACGGGUGAGUAACACGUAUCCAACCUGCCCUUUACUCGGGGAUAGCCUUUCGAAAGAAAGAUUAAUACCCGAUAGCAUAAUGAUUCCGCAUGGUUUCAUUAUUAAAGGAUUCCGGUAAAGGAUGGGGAUGCGUUCCAUUAGGUUGUUGGUGAGGUAACGGCCCACCAAGCCUUCGAUGGAUAGGGGUUCUGAGAGGAAGGUCCCCCACAUUGGAACUGAGACACGGUCCAA
This 256-nucleotide ribosomal RNA is filed under the name uncultured bacterium. RNAcentral describes it as "partial 16S ribosomal RNA". It matches the Rfam family "Bacterial small subunit ribosomal RNA", at positions 77 to 334 of the family's 1533-position model. The record is from RNAcentral.